CCCGAGUUUACAACUCCCAAACCCUUUGUGAACCUUACCUAUCGUUGCUUUCGGCGGGACCGCCCCGGCGCCUUCAAACCGCGCCGGAACCCAGGCACCCGCCGGAGGUAUCCAAACUCUUGUUUUUAUAUAGUAUCUUCUGAGUGGCGAAAGCAAAAAAUGAAUCAA
RNAcentral lists this unclassified non-coding RNA (168 nucleotides) under soil metagenome. RNAcentral describes it as "partial internal transcribed spacer 1". The record is from RNAcentral.